RNAcentral lists this small RNA (268 nucleotides) under Oryza sativa Japonica Group (Japanese rice). RNAcentral's name for it is "sRNA Os01g0650501". Lineage: Eukaryota; Viridiplantae; Streptophyta; Magnoliopsida; Poales; Poaceae. The record is from RNAcentral.
UAGACUGGAGCGAGAUUGUCCAGGCCAUAAAGUAGAGAUAAAAGGAUUACCAUAGGCUCAUUCAUCGAAAAUUAUAUAUACAGGAAAACAAAAACGAAUUUCUACUUGAAGCAUGUGUAAAGCUAUUUCUUGCAUUAGAGCUAAUCCUUAUUAUUUUUCUUUGUCUCUUUCCUCUAUAUAUAUGCUUAUAGCUGACUAUAGUCUCCUAUUAAAUUUGCUCUUAGUAACUUUCUUCAUCAGUAUAUUAUCUUAAAAUGCUUUUUCUAAA